CCCUAGUAACGGCGAGUGAAGCGGCAACAGCUCAAAUUUGAAAGCUAGCCUUCGGGUUCGCAUUGUAAUUUGUAGAGGAUGAUUUGGGGAAGCCGCCUGUCUAAGUUCCUUGGAACAGGACGUCAUAGAGGGUGAGAAUCCCGUAUGUGACAGGAAAUGGCACCCUAUGUAAAUCUCCUUCGACGAGUCGAGUUGUUUGGGAAUGCAGCUCUAAAUGGGAGGUAAAUUUCUUCUAAAGCUAAAUAUUGGCGAGAGACCGAUAGCGCACAAGUAGAGUGAUCGAAAGAUGAAAAGCACUUUGGAAAGAGAGUUAAAAAGCACGUGAAAUUGUUGAAAGGGAAGCGCUUGCAAUCAGACUUGUUUAAACUGUUCGGCCGGUCUUCUGACCGGUUUACUCAGUUUGGACAGGCCAGCAUCAGUUUCGGCGGCCGGAUAAAGGCUCUGGGAAUGUGGCCUCCACUUCGGUGGAGGUGUUAUAGCCCAGGGUGUAAUACGGCCAGCCGGGACUGAGGUCCGCGCUUCGGCUAGGAUGCUGGCGUAAUGGUUGUAAGCGACCCGUCUUGAAACACGGACCAAGGAGUCUAACAUCUAUGCGAGUGUUCGGGUGUCAAACCCCUGCGCGUAAUGAAAGUGAAC
RNAcentral lists this ribosomal RNA (636 nucleotides) under Aureobasidium pullulans. Its description in RNAcentral is "partial large subunit ribosomal RNA". It matches the Rfam family "Eukaryotic large subunit ribosomal RNA", at positions 78 to 730 of the family's 3401-position model. Lineage: Eukaryota; Fungi; Ascomycota; Dothideomycetes; Dothideales; Saccotheciaceae. The record is from RNAcentral.